Molecule: transfer RNA, 72 nt
Filed under: Odocoileus virginianus texanus
Lineage: Eukaryota; Metazoa; Chordata; Mammalia; Artiodactyla; Cervidae
Also listed under: 3 other names
Rfam family: tRNA
About the family: Transfer RNA (tRNA) molecules are approximately 80 nucleotides in length. Their secondary structure includes four short double-helical elements and three loops (D, anti-codon, and T loops).
Source: Rfam by way of RNAcentral
UCCCUGGUGGCUCAGAGGUUAAAGCGUCUGCCUGCAAUGCGGGAGACCUGGGUUCGAUUCCUGGGUCGGGAA